Molecule: transfer RNA, 67 nt
Filed under: Ixodes scapularis (black-legged tick)
Lineage: Eukaryota; Metazoa; Arthropoda; Arachnida; Ixodida; Ixodidae
Rfam family: tRNA
About the family: Transfer RNA (tRNA) molecules are approximately 80 nucleotides in length. Their secondary structure includes four short double-helical elements and three loops (D, anti-codon, and T loops). Further hydrogen bonds mediate the characteristic L-shaped molecular structure. tRNAs have two regions of fundamental functional importance: the anti-codon, which is responsible for specific mRNA codon recognition, and the 3' end, to which the tRNAs corresponding amino acid is attached (by aminoacyl-tRNA synthetases). tRNAs cope with the degeneracy of the genetic code in two manners: having more than one tRNA (with a specific anti-codon) for a particular amino acid; and 'wobble' base-pairing, i.e. permitting non-standard base-pairing at the 3rd anti-codon position.
Source: Rfam by way of RNAcentral
UCCUGGUUAGCUCAGUUGGUAGAGUGCUCCAUUGGAAAUGGAGAUGCCUCUGUGUCCAUACCAGGAC